Long non-coding RNA from Sceloporus undulatus (fence lizard), 1022 nucleotides. RefSeq lists it as uncharacterized. Lineage: Eukaryota; Metazoa; Chordata; Lepidosauria; Squamata; Phrynosomatidae. The transcript has 2 exons. The record is from RefSeq and is a predicted model, not a curated record.
UCAGAACAUGGCAGUGGCAAAUCUUCUCUCCAGAAACCUGGCAAGAAAACCCUGAGAUAGGUUUGCCUUAGGGUCACCAUAAGUCAGAAAGGACUUGGAGGCAAACAAAAGCAACAACCAAUGACAUCUUAAGUAUCUGGAUUAUUUGUAGGGUCUUUGCACUCUCCUUUGUCAGGCUGCAGCUAAGGGAUUUGUGACUUUUUCCCAGGGCCUCACAGCAAAAUCCAUGAAGCAGGUGGGACCUGAUCCUUCUGGGUUUUAUUCUUCCAGCUGAUGGUGCUUUGGAUCUCUCUGGGGCAUCCCUUUCUUUGGCUGAGGUGGCCUUCAACUGGGAGAGUUGCCCUGGAGGACCUAGAGCAGGGGUAGGCAAGGCAACCUUUAUGAGCCGGGGGCCGGGUUGCUGUCCCUCAGACAACUGGGGGGCCAAAGUCGAAAAAUAAAUAAUUAAACAUUUUUUUAAAAAAAUUAAUUAUAUAAAUAAGCCAGUACUCUUUGUACUGUAAAUAAUGCAUCAGCAUCGGCAAACCCAUCAACCUCACCAUUCACCUCCAAUUCCAGGCCAUUUCUGAACAUGUUGAAACACACACACACAGGCAGCAGCCCCAAACACAGAUCCCCAAGGGACCUCUGUGCCCACGCCAUCCGUUUAUCCUGAAGGACACAUGGGGCUUGGUGCGUGCCCCAUUCCUCCCACCCCAAUGGGGGUCAUUGCCCCACUGUCCCAACCUGAGAGCCAAAGACUACAAGCAGUGCCCAUGUUAAUGAAUGACCAGAGCCAGGGGGCAAGUGGGAUGGCAUGUGCCCUCCAAAGCCCUGCUGCUCACAGACAGCCUUCAGCUCAGAUCUGCCCCGGACCUUCCUCUCCGACACCAUGAAGAUCCUGGCUGUGGGGCUUGUUUUGGCCAUUGCCAUAGGACCUGAAGCUUUCGUUGUUAGAGCAAACCAACCCUUUCCAACACUCAAAUUGCACGCAAUAAUCGACGGGAUUUCGGGACUCAUGAUCGAUGGCUAUGUUAAAGUGA